RNAcentral lists this unclassified non-coding RNA (208 nucleotides) under Hevea brasiliensis (rubber tree). Lineage: Eukaryota; Viridiplantae; Streptophyta; Magnoliopsida; Malpighiales; Euphorbiaceae. The record is from RNAcentral.
GCCGAUCACGUCGUUGACCUGAACCUCGCGGCAGGCGCGCACGCAAAGUCCACACUGAAUGCACGCAUCGAGAUUGACGCUCAUCGCCGGAUGGCUUGUAUCGCUCGACCAACGAUCGUUUGCCGGAAAGCGGCUUUCAGUGACGUNCCUUGUCGGCCCAGUUCCAGAACUUGGAGUCGGGAUCGUGCGAUGUCUCGCGCGCCGGCUG